GAUGAACGCUGGCGGCGUGCCUAAUACAUGCAAGUCGAGCGAACAGACGAGGAGCUUGCUCCUCUGACGUUAGCGGCGGACGGGUGAGUAACACGUGGAUAACCUACCUAUAAGACUGGGAUAACUUCGGGAAACCGGAGCUAAUACCGGAUAAUAUAUUGAACCGCAUGGUUCAAUAGUGAAAGACGGUUUUGCUGUCACUUAUAGAUGGAUCAGCGCCGCAUUAGCUAGUUGGUAAGGUAACGGCUUACCAAGGCGACGAUGCGUAGCCGACCUGAGAGGGUGAUCGGCCACACUGGAACUAAGACACGUCCCAGACUCCUACGGGAGGCAGCAGUAGGGAAUCUUCCGCAAUGGGCGAGAGCCUGACGGAGCAACGCCGCGUGAGUGAUGAAGGUCUUCGGAUCGUAAAACUCUGUUAUUAGGGAAGAACAAAUGUGUAAGUAACUAUGCACGUCUUGACGGUACCUAAUCAGAAAGCCACGGCUAACUACGUG
Molecule: ribosomal RNA, 497 nt
Filed under: uncultured bacterium
Lineage: Bacteria
Description: partial 16S ribosomal RNA
Rfam family: Bacterial small subunit ribosomal RNA
Source: RNAcentral